This 274-nucleotide ribosomal RNA is filed under the name uncultured bacterium. RNAcentral's name for it is "partial 16S ribosomal RNA". It matches the Rfam family "Bacterial small subunit ribosomal RNA", at positions 523 to 796 of the family's 1533-position model. The record is from RNAcentral.
AUACAGAGGGUGCGAGCGUUAAUCGGAAUUACUGGGCGUAAAGCGCGCGUAGGCGGCUUAUUAAGUCAGAUGGGAAAUCCCCGGGCUCAACCUGGGAACUGCAUCUGAUACUGGUAAGCUAGAGUUUUGGAGAGGGAAGUAGAAUUUCAGGUGUAGCGGUGAAAUGCAUAGAGAUCUGAAGGAAUACCAGUGGCGAAGGCGACUUCCUGGCCAAAAACUGACGCUGAGGUGCGAAAGCGUGGGUAGCAAACGGGAUUAGAUACCCCAGUAGUCC